UUUAGUACUGGAAGGAGCCGUCUCCUUGGCUGCAAGUCCUCGGCACUGAUCCAGGCACGGAUUCCAGAUUGGUGAGCAAACCCAUUUUCUGACCAGUCGUUGCUGUCCCACUGGUGUGUAGAGUCUGUGCUGCCUUACUAUUUGUGUUGGGGCUCACGCGUGCAAGAAGAGUUGCGGGACUGCCUCUUUGAGUUUCCUUGAGUUUGGGAAGCAUUGGAGAGGCAUGUUCGCGGCUAGGAAUAGGCAGUAUUCCUAUAGCCCUAAGCGGGAAACGGGCGUUGAACCUGGAUUUUGGAGGCAAAGGCACACUGCUCUGGGAGAUUCCCGUUCGGAGUCCCGAGUGGAUUCAGAGGUCAACAUCUCCUCCCCCAGCUCCAGGAAGUAGGUUUAUUCCCCCCAACCCCCAACCCCCUCCCAAGCAGGCCCGGCUUCUUCCAGGAAGAGUUGGGAGAUGAGCUACUCUACCUGCCCCGACCCGGUCUACACCGGCUGCAACCAGUCGGAGCUAGGAGCCCUAGGGCCUCUCCAGAGGAAGCCGAGGCAAGCUGGGCGGAGUUAGGAACAGACCCCAGCCAGGAUUUCUGGCCCUCGGAAUUAGGCUUCCGGACGUGCUCUGGAGAAGUUUGCCUACCGGGUACUCUUCAUCUGCGGACCUUCUCUGGGGGUGCCUACCGCCCCGUUACUCUGCUGAGUCACUUCUGACGGAGGCAGGCCGAGACAGUGAGGUGAUUUAUUGUGAAUAACUUGGCUGAGAUAGGGAGCAUUGAAUUUAUGUAUUCUAAAAGUAUGUAUGUAAACUCAAUUUUUUUUCAGAUAUAUCCUUCUAUAACCCAAGCUACCCUAUCGCUAACCAUCUUCUUGAUUCCAACCCUCUUCUCUGGUGUUACGAUUACAGGCCUGAGCUACCGACACAGCAAAGGGACAUUUAUUUUAUCAGUCAUUUGAGAAAAAUAGGUGUUACAGCUAGUUAUGUUGCGUGUGUUUCAGUACAGGACCUGAAAAUUGGAUGCCGUAUGUCCCCAGUCUGUUUAUUUAGCCUCUGAGCUUUAACAU
RNAcentral lists this long non-coding RNA (1053 nucleotides) under Mus musculus (house mouse). RNAcentral's name for it is "long non-coding RNA chr7:104218812-104219865". Lineage: Eukaryota; Metazoa; Chordata; Mammalia; Rodentia; Muridae. The record is from RNAcentral.